RNAcentral lists this transfer RNA (67 nucleotides) under Fasciola hepatica (liver fluke). RNAcentral describes it as "tRNA-Thr". The record is from RNAcentral. Lineage: Eukaryota; Metazoa; Platyhelminthes; Trematoda; Plagiorchiida; Fasciolidae.
ACGCAAUAGCUAAGUUGGUAGAAUAUUUGCUCGGUAAGCCAAAAAUCCGGUUCGAUUCCGGUUCGUG